AGGGAUGUAGCUUAGUGGCACAGCACUUGCCUGGCAAGCAUGAGACCCUGUGUUAGAUUCCCAGUACCUCCU
This 72-nucleotide transfer RNA is filed under the name Cavia porcellus (domestic guinea pig). It matches the Rfam family "tRNA". Rfam says of the family: Transfer RNA (tRNA) molecules are approximately 80 nucleotides in length. Their secondary structure includes four short double-helical elements and three loops (D, anti-codon, and T loops). The record is from Rfam by way of RNAcentral. Lineage: Eukaryota; Metazoa; Chordata; Mammalia; Rodentia; Caviidae.